ACUCGUGAGGAAAUUAUUAUUAUUAUUAUUGUUUUAAAGACUCUGAAAUUGAGACUCAGAGUGAUAAAGACACUUAUCUACGAUGGAGGAUAGGACUCUAGAUGCUAGUUCUUUUUUGUCUCCAAAAACUGUCAUUCUAAUUAUUUAUUAAAUAUCAAGACAUCUGAAUUUAUCUGUUCACAAUGAGAAAAUAGUGCAUUUGUAAACAUUUCUGUGUAGUGGGAUAUGAGAUUCUUGUACCACAAUGUGUAAUAUAAGGUCCACACUGAACCCAUCCCAUUUGGACCCUUCUGUGAACUUCAUUAACAUCUGUACACAUCAGAAGUAUUGCAUUUACUAUCUUAUCUGUUUGGUAUCUGCUGAAGUGUGAUGAAAUUAAUGAAUAUUAUGUUAUAUUGUUUAUCAAUAUUCAGUAUAGUACUUGACAUAUUAUAGCAGGUUCUGAAUAUAUAAUGAUUGCAUAUAUAAAGAAAAGAAUGUAUCCAUCCAUCCAUCCAUCCAUCCAUCCGUAAAUGCAACAAUGAAUGAAUAAGAGGUUAGAUGAUACUACAGAGAUUUAUCUACAGAAUAUCUUCUAGUCUGGCUUGGGUAAAUAAUAACAAAAAAAUGCCUUUUCUAGAUGUAUCACCUUGCACCUUUGUAGAAUACUCCACAAAACCCUCUCUACGGCUGCCACCACACUGCAAAAUCCCUUGUCUUAUAUUCGUUAAUGCCUUAUUACUUAUUUAUUCUUUCAAAUGUGGCCUUUGUAGCUGAAUCCUGAAUUUUGCUAUAAGCAAUGAAUAUUUUCAUGUGAUGUAAAAAAUAUGAAUACAUAAACAAGCAACAGAAUACCCAACAAAGAACUGGGCCCUAAAUGUCUAGAGCAGGGGUCAAACCAACAUCUUCUGAAUAUUGAUUUAACAGAUUAAACUCUGCUGGAGUUAGUUGUCAGAGUUUGCAUUCACACCCUUCCUCAGUAAGCUUAUGGAACUUCCCAAGUUGUCUGCAGCCCUGAACAAUGCAAUGGAGAGUAGAUUGUGUGACUCAUAGAGAUCACUCAAGACUGCUAAUAUACUCGUCUAUGCAGUGAGGUUAGAGCUGAUCCAGUGGUCUUUCUAAAUCUGGAAAGUGGUUUCCUCCUAAUAUGUACAAAUAUUAUUUUACCUACUCUAGUCUUAAAAUAUGAAAUGCAACUGGAAAUAAAUUAUUGCUUUAGUGAGUUUUUUACUCUCUUCUUGACAAUCAUUUUUCUCAGUAACAGAAAUUGAAUGUCCCUGAAGAAAAGCAAAAGGUAAUUGACCUCACCCUAUCUGACUAGAUCCAUUUAUUUAUAUUUGUGUGUUGGUUUUCAUUUUGCUUAAUGUGGAGUUAUCAUUACCUAACCCUAACUGAAAUGUUUCAGAUUACUCAAAAAAAAGUUUGAAUAAUUACCUGAGUUAAUAAAUGUGGCCCAGGAUUCUCAUGUAUAAAAUGAGGAUGCUAUUUUUCUUGCCAUUUUAUAUAUGUAUAGGUGUGUAUAAAGACUUACCCCGUCCAGUUGACACGAACAACAUGGGUUUAAACUGUACAGUUCCACUUAUAUUCACAGCCUUUUUUUUAAAUAGGAAAUACCACAAUGCUACCUAAUCCACACAGUUAAAUACACAUAAGUGGAAUCUCAGUUACGGAGGGACUACAUAUACAUAAGAACACUUAUACAGAAGACCAAUUAUAAGUUAUUUGUGGAUAUUUGACUGUGUGAAAGUUUGAUGCCCCUAACCCCGUAUUGUUCAAGGGUCAGUUAUAUUUAUAAAAUAAUUAUUGCCUGAUUAUGCAUAAUGCAAAAUUUAUGGCAUACUCUAACUCAUCUCUGCAUACCUGACCUCCAUCUAGAUAGAAGUAAAAAAAAUUAUAUUGAACAACAGUGCAAUAUAAGUGAACAAUAAGUAGUAUUAAUAUACCAUUAUUAUUAGAUAAUAAAACUUAUAUUUGCUUCAUCACCCAGACAAUAUUUAUAUGUACUUAAUAUAUAAAUGUGACUCCCGUAUUUCUUGCUUCUUCUCCUUCUCUCUCUCUCUCUUUCUCACACAUGCACACGCACAAACACAUGCACGCACAUUCACACAGAAAACUUGCUUAUAUAGCUUUCAAUUGGGAGCUGGAUUCAACCUAAAGCAAAAUUUUUAUAAAUCACUAUCUUCAUGAGAUUAAAAAUGUUUGAAUACUUAAUGGCAAAGAAUUAAAAAAAAAAAUCUGGUGGAUGCACUUAUAAGACUUUGUUGCUAUCAUCUUGUAAUCACAGCCAGACUUUCAUUAGGGAAUUAGCUAAAUGUUCAUUUGGCAGUGACUUCCUGUUUGAUGAGUAAGACUUUCAGCAUGUUGUGAUUUCUGUCCUUUUGCUGAUAGAUAUACUUGCUGUCCUUAUAAUUGGUUUAUCCCAGUAGAUAGUUUCCUCAGAGACCAUGCAGUCACGGACAAUAUCACCCAAUUUCCUUCCAAGAAUUGUUGGAAGGUCUAAUCAAGAAAUGUUUGUGAGUUGCAUUCAGAAGGGAAGUACUCUCCAGUGGCAGAGAGGCAUGAUUAUUACUGGAAUUAGUCUUUACAAAAAUCUCUAAUCACCACCCAGACAAGAUGAAGAGGUGAUGGAAAAAGCUCCUAAGUGAAUUAAAAAAAAAAUUAACCAAAAUUUCCAAAUACGUUUUUAUCUUUAAUUGAAGAAAAAAAAUGUUUUUCCUUCCUUUUACUGUUAUUUGCCACUGAGGGUCUAAUAUUUUAAAUGAGUUUUUAGAACACAAAGAAAGAGCAUUAAAAUUAUGGGUUUGGACUUCAUUCAUUCUGUGCUUCUACAAUUCUAAAUUGCCACUAAUUUCCUUCUUUACACAUGCAGUGUAGGAAUGGUUGUUUUUCACAGACCUUGAUUUUUCACUAAUUAGUUGCCAGAAUUAAGUUUGCAAUUACCCAAUUGAAAUAUUUUAAGAAAAUGUGUCAUGUAUCAGAAAAAUAAUUGAAAUGCAUAUUUGAAGAAAAACUUGGACCGUGUCUGAUAUAUUGUAAUAAUUUAGAUCUUUGUUGCAAGUAAGAGAUAUCUGACUCAAAAUGACUUAAGCAAAAGUAUAGACUUAUUAUAAGGAUACUAAGGUCAUUCAUGGAAACCAAGAACAAGGCUGAGUCUGAAGAAUUAUAGAAAUAAGAAACUCAGAUAUGUUUAAAAUGUGCUUUCCACAUUUUGUCUCUUCUCUUCAACGAUCAGGGUCAGUCUUUUCUUUCUCUCUGUAAAGGAUUUUUCUAUGCUUUUUCAGUUCUCCUGGAGGAAAAUCUAGUUGCCCAAAAUUGUGCCUCAGAGUCUAGGUUCUCCAAAAGAGAGUGAUACACAUUCUCUGUUUCAUCUCCAGAAUUCCUAGGGAGGGACUCAUGUUUUAGCUUAGGUUGGGUGCCUUAGUUUAACUGGUCAACUGUAGUUAGAUGAUGUGGAUCCCACUACAACUAACCUAACAGUUCUUAGAAGAAAUGUGUGGAGGGAGCGAAGGUUGAGGAGGAAUCUCCAGACAAAAGUGCUUAGCAGAUAAUUCUGUAAGGAACUACUGUGUACAUUAAAUGCUAAUACUUAAACAUUCCACAGGUUGAUUUUAUAAACAGAGACUAGGGAAACAGGUCAAAUAAUAAAAUGAUAUUAUAUGUUAAACCUCAUAAAAAUAACUUGACCUAAUUUAGCCCCCAAAAUAUGAGUGAAAGUUUAAUAAACAAGACAUUAUCACCACACAAGAGCAAUUUACCCAUAGAAAAACCUAAAAGCCAUUCACAGAUAGUAUUCUCCUUAGCUCAAGUUUAUAUUGCGUGUUGAGUCUAUGGAAGCCCUUAUGCUAAGAACUGAGAAUAAUAUGAUGAGUAAGAUAGUGUAGGGGAAUGGGUGACAUAACAAUAUACCAUUAUGCAGAAAAUGCAAUGACGGAAAUAUCUAGAGGUAUUUAUGGGAAUCCUUAGGAGGAGCAAAGCCCUGUUAGGAGUGAGUAAUAAUCACAAAUGUCAUCCCAAAGGAGUCAACCCCUGAACCACAUUUACAGAGAGAAGUAAAAGUUAUCCAUGUAAAGAAAUGGAAAAUUAUCAGAGAAAGUUCACCAGGGGUCCAAUGAUGGAGCACCUUGAAAACCCAGCUAAAAGAGCUUGGAUUUUUCUGAAGUUUCCUAAAACAAAGGCAUGGGAAUAUCAUGAUUCUAUUUGUUCAGUACUAGGUCUGAAUUACAGUCUCCAUAAACACAGUCCCUGAGACUUGUUUUCUCAGUAACUUCUCAAGUAAUCAAGUAAUCUAGGCUAAUUGGGUAUGGGGGAGAGAAAGGAGUUCUAGUGCAUUAGGGCCUGUUCUAAUUAUACCUGUCCUACAACCACAAACUACUGCAGUAUCGCCAAAUGUCUUCUGGUUGCAAGAAAUAAUUAUAUUCAACCAAAAAUCAAUAGAAUUAACACUUUGGACAUAUUUUUCUUCCUUACUUCAAGAAGGUAGAACAUUUUGUGACAUUCUCUUCUUCAUAUUGUUCACCCCCACGAGACCCAGGCUUUCAAUUAUAGUUGGGCUAAAUUGCCUGCCGUCCCCUGACUUUACUCAUCAUAAAGUCAUUUGAAUUUGCUCAUGGGAAUUUUCAUGCCCAGAACUCACUCACUCUUGCUAUCUGCCGGAAUCUAUGGUUCUUACUAUUAAAAACUCAGUUUGAGGCCAUUCCUCCCAGGGUGGCUCAUUACAUUAGGCAGGGAAUGUGUGGCACUCUCCUUCUGGCAGUCCCCACCAUCUCUUCUAUAGCAUUCAUGAUAUGCGAAUGCAUUUUUGUUUCUCACAUUUGUGUGUAUGUGCUUUCUUCCUAAAAUAUGCAAAGCCAAAGCCUCAAAGCACUGAUAUGUCCCCUCAAAAAGUAUACAUUGAGUUGAAUGACACUAACUUUAAUCACUGGAAUAAUAAAUAGACAUAGUCUGCUUUCACGUGUGCAUGUUUUGCAUGAGUUUCAGAAAUAUACCACACAAGAAAAAUAUCAUUUCUAGUGCCACCUUGUAAAAUAAGAUUCUGUCCUAAAAAAAUACUGUCAUAAUCCCAUAAUUUUUCACAAUAAUAAAUAGAUGGGCUUUAAGCUAUAUAAUGUCAU
Molecule: long non-coding RNA, 5090 nt
Filed under: Sus scrofa (pig)
Lineage: Eukaryota; Metazoa; Chordata; Mammalia; Artiodactyla; Suidae
Description: lncRNA (ENSSSCG00000056022.1)
Source: RNAcentral